Molecule: transfer RNA, 86 nt
Filed under: Felis catus (domestic cat)
Lineage: Eukaryota; Metazoa; Chordata; Mammalia; Carnivora; Felidae
Rfam family: tRNA
About the family: Transfer RNA (tRNA) molecules are approximately 80 nucleotides in length.
Source: Rfam by way of RNAcentral
GCCUGGGUGGCUCAGUUGGUUAAAGUGUCUGACUUCAGCUCAGGUCAUGAUCUUGAGGUUCGUGAGUUCGAGCCCUGCAUCAGGCU